UACGUAGGGGGCUAGCGUUGUCCGGAAUUAUUGGGCGUAAAGAGCUCGUAGGCGGUUUGUCGCGUCGAAUGUGAAAUCCCGGGGCUCAACCCCGGGUCUGCAUUCGAUACGGACAGACUAGAGUUCGGUAGGGGAGUCUGGAAUUCCUGGUGUAGCGGUGAAAUGCGCAGAUAUCAGGAGGAACACCGGUGGCGAAGGCGGGACUCUGGGCCGAUACUGACGCUGAAGAGCGAAAGCGUGGGGAGCGAACAGG
RNAcentral lists this ribosomal RNA (253 nucleotides) under uncultured bacterium. Its description in RNAcentral is "partial 16S ribosomal RNA". It matches the Rfam family "Bacterial small subunit ribosomal RNA", at positions 524 to 776 of the family's 1533-position model. The record is from RNAcentral.